This 468-nucleotide ribosomal RNA is filed under the name uncultured bacterium. RNAcentral describes it as "partial 16S ribosomal RNA". It matches the Rfam family "Bacterial small subunit ribosomal RNA", at positions 28 to 507 of the family's 1533-position model. The record is from RNAcentral.
GACGAACGCUGGCGGCGUGCUUAACACAUGCAAGUCGAACGGAAAGGCCCUGCUUUUGUGGGGUGCUCGAAUGGCGAACGGGUGAGUAACACGUGAGUAACCUGCCCUUGACUUUGGGAUAACUUCAGGAAACUGGGGCUAAUACCGGAUAGGAGCUCCUGCUGCAUGGUGGGGGUUGGAAAGUUUCGGCGGGUGGGGAUGGACUCGCGGCUUAUCAGCUUGUUGGUGGGGUAGUGGCUUACCAAGGCUUUGACGGGUAGCCGGCCUGAGAGGGUGACCGGCCACAUUGGGACUGAGAUACGGCGCAGACUCCUACGGGAGGCAGCAGUGGGGAAUAUUGCACAAUGGGCGGAAGCCUGAUGCAGCAACGCCGCGUGCGGGAUGACGGCCUUCGGGUUGUAAACCGCUUUCGCCUGUGACGAAGCGUGAGUGACGGUAAUGGGUAAAGAAGCACCGGCUAACUACGUG